RNAcentral lists this ribosomal RNA (1315 nucleotides) under Candidatus Phytoplasma australasiaticum. Its description in RNAcentral is "bacterial SSU rRNA". It matches the Rfam family "Bacterial small subunit ribosomal RNA", at positions 122 to 1436 of the family's 1533-position model. Lineage: Bacteria; Bacillati; Mycoplasmatota; Mollicutes; Acholeplasmatales; Acholeplasmataceae. The record is from RNAcentral.
CAACCUACCCUAAAGACGAGGAUAACCAUUGGAAACAGUGGCUAAGACUGGAUAGGAAGAUAAAAGGCAUCUUUUAUCUUUUAAAAGACCUAGUAAUAGGUAUGCUUUAGGAGGGGCUUGCGCCAUAUUAGUUAGUUGGUAGGGUAAUGGCCUACCAAGACGAUGAUGUGUAGCUGGACUGAGAGGUUGAACAGCCACAUUGGGACUGAGACACGGCCCAAACUCCUACGGGAGGCAGCAGUAGGGAAUUUUCGGCAAUGGAGGAAACUCUGACCGAGCAACGCCGCGUGAAUGACGAAGUACUUCGGUAUGUAAAGUUCUUUUAUCAAGGAAGAAAAGCAAAUGGCGAACCAUUUGUUUGCCGGUACUUGAUGAAUAAGCCCCGGCUAAUUAUGUGCCAGCAGCCGCGGUAAGACAUAAGGGGCAAGUGUUAUCCGGAAUUAUUGGGCGUAAAGGGUGCGUAGGCGGUCUAGUAAGUCAGUGGUGUAAUGGCAACGCUUAACGUUGUCCGGCUAUUGAAACUGCUAAACUUGAGUUAGAUAGAGGCGAGUGGAAUUCCAUGUGUAGCGGUAAAAUGCGUAAAUAUAUGGAGGAACACCAGAGGCGUAGGCGGCUCGCUGGGUCUUAACUGACGCUGAGGCACGAAAGCGUGGGGAGCAAACAGGAUUAGAUACCCUGGUAGUCCACGCCGUAAACGAUGAGUACUAAGUGUCGGGUUAAACCGGUACUGAAGUUAACACAUUAAGUACUCCGCCUGAGUAGUACGUACGCAAGUAUGAAACUUAAAGGAAUUGACGGGACUCCGCACAAGCGGUGGAUCAUGUUGUUUAAUUCGAAGAUACCCGAAAAACCUUACCAGGUCUUGACAUGUUUUUGCAAAAUGAUAGUAAUAUCGUGGAGGUUACCAGAAACACAGGUGGUGCAUGGUUGUCGUCAGCUCGUGUCGUGAGAUGUUAGGUUAAGUCCUAAAACGAGCGAAACCCUUAUCGUUAGUUGCCAGCACGUUAUGGUGGGGACUUUAACGAGACUGCCAAUGAUAAAUUGGAGGAAGGUGAGGAUCACGUCAAAUCAGCAUGCCCCUUAUGACCUGGGCUACAAACGUGAUACAAUGGCUGUUACAAAGGGUAGCUGAAACGCAAGUUCUUGGCCAAUCCCCAAAAACAGUCCCAGUCCGGAUUGAAGUCUGCAACUCGACUUCAUGAAGUUGGAAUCGCUAGUAAUCGCGAAUCAGCAUGUCGCGGUGAAUACGUUCUCGGGGUUUGUACACACCGCCCGUCAAACCACGAAAGUUGGCAAUACCCCAAAACGGUAGCCU